GAUGAACGCUGGCGGCGUGCUUAACACAUGCAAGUCGAACGAACCUUCGGGUUAGUGGCGGACGGGUGAGUAACGCGUGAGAAUCUGCCCUCAGGAGGGGGAUAACGGUUGGAAACGGCCGCUAAUACCCCAUAUGCCGCGAGGUGAAAUGAAUUUCGCCUGAGGAUGAGCUCGCGUCUGAUUAGCUAGUUGGUGUAGGUAAUGGCUCACCAAGGCAUCGAUCAGUAGCUGGUCUGAGAGGAUGAUCAGCCACACUGGGACUGAGACACGGCCCAGACUCCUACGGGAGGCAGCAGUGAGGAAUUUUCCGCAAUGGGCGAAAGCCUGACGGAGCAAUACCGCGUGAAGGAUUAAGGCCUAUGGGUUGUAAACUUCUUUUCUCAGAGAAGAAUUUUGACGGUAUCUGAGGAAUAAGCAUCGGCUAACUCUGUG
This 432-nucleotide ribosomal RNA is filed under the name uncultured bacterium. Its description in RNAcentral is "bacterial SSU rRNA". It matches the Rfam family "Bacterial small subunit ribosomal RNA", at positions 28 to 507 of the family's 1533-position model. The record is from RNAcentral.